Molecule: ribosomal RNA, 863 nt
Filed under: uncultured bacterium
Lineage: Bacteria
Description: bacterial SSU rRNA
Rfam family: Bacterial small subunit ribosomal RNA
Source: RNAcentral
AGAGUUUGAUCAUGGCUCAGGACGAACGCUGGCGGCGUGCCUAAUACAUGCAAGUAGAACGCUGAAGAGAGGAGCUUGCUCUUCUUGGAUGAGUUGCGAACGGGUGAGUAACGCGUAGGUAACCUGCCUUGUAGCGGGGGAUAACUAUUGGAAACGAUAGCUAAUACCGCAUAACAAUGGAUGACACAUGUCAUUUAUUUGAAAGGGGCAAUUGCUCCACUACAAGAUGGACCUGCGUUGUAUUAGCUAGUAGGUGAGGUAAUGGCUCACCUAGGCGACGAUACAUAGCCGACCUGAGAGGGUGAUCGGCCACACUGGGACUGAGACACGGCCCAGACUCCUACGGGAGGCAGCAGUAGGGAAUCUUCGGCAAUGGGGGCAACCCUGACCGAGCAACGCCGCGUGAGUGAAGAAGGUUUUCGGAUCGUAAAGCUCUGUUGUAAGUCAAGAACGGGUGUGAGAGUGGAAAGUUCACACUGUGACGGUAGCUUACCAGAAAGGGACGGCUAACUACGUGCCAGCAGCCGCGGUAAUACGUAGGUCCCGAGCGUUGUCCGGAUUUAUUGGGCGUAAAGCGAGCGCAGGCGGUUUGAUAAGUCUGAAGUUAAAGGCUGUGGCUCAACCAUAGUUCGCUUUGGAAACUGUCAAACUUGAGUGCAGAAGGGGAGAGUGGAAUUCCAUGUGUAGCGGUGAAAUGCGUAGAUAUAUGGAGGAACACCGGUGGCGAAAGCGGCUCUCUGGUCUGUAACUGACGCUGAGGCUCGAAAGCGUGGGGAGCGAACAGGAUUAGAUACCCUGGUAGUCCACGCCGUAAACGAUGAGUGCUAGGUGUUGGAUCCUUUCCGGGAUUCAGUGCCGAAGCU